Molecule: ribosomal RNA, 413 nt
Filed under: uncultured bacterium
Lineage: Bacteria
Description: bacterial SSU rRNA
Rfam family: Bacterial small subunit ribosomal RNA
Source: RNAcentral
GUGCCAGCCGCCGCGGUAAUACGUAGGGGGCGAGCGUUGUCCGGAAUUACUGGGCGUAAAGGGCGCGUAGGCGGUUAAUUAAGUCAGAUGUGAAACCCCUCGGCUUAACCGGGGACUGGCAUUUGAAACUGGUUAACUUGAGUGCAGGAGAGGAAAGUGGAAUUCCUAGUGUAGCGGUGAAAUGCGUAGAGAUUAGGAGGAACACCAGUGGCGAAGGCGGCUUUCUGGACUGUAACUGACGCUGAGGCGCGAAAGCGUGGGGAGCAAACAGGAUUAGAUACCCUGGUAGUCCACGCCGUAAACGAUGGAUACUAGGUGUAGGAGGUAUCGACCCCUUCUGUGCCGGAGUAAACGCAAUAAGUAUCCCGCCUGGGGAGUACGGCCGCAAGGUUGAAACUCAAAUGAAUUGGCGG